This 295-nucleotide unclassified non-coding RNA is filed under the name Hevea brasiliensis (rubber tree). Lineage: Eukaryota; Viridiplantae; Streptophyta; Magnoliopsida; Malpighiales; Euphorbiaceae. The record is from RNAcentral.
UGAUGACAUCACGGUUGACAAUGUGGCGGGUUUCUUUGGUGAGUGCACAUGCAACUACCAGGACAUCACAGUUGGCUGCCAAGUCGAGAACAGUUGAGCAGUACUUGUAAUCUGUGUUAGGCUUCUCUGAUCUUGAGUAGUAGCUGAUGGGGCAGCCGAAGGCUUCAGCCCUCUUGGCAAUGGCUAGACCGAUCCUCCCAAGACCGAGGAUACCGACAGUCUUGCCACUGAACUUGGUGGUGAGCUUGUAUUCCCCCUUGACCUUCCACGCCUCCUCCCUCACAUACCGAUCCGC